Molecule: long non-coding RNA, 3131 nt
Organism: Engraulis encrasicolus (European anchovy)
Lineage: Eukaryota; Metazoa; Chordata; Actinopteri; Clupeiformes; Engraulidae
Exons: 5
Source: RefSeq, a predicted model, not a curated record
CUCACGCGCGCGAGCAGAAAUAUGAAUAUUUAAAUUAUCUCCUCCCACUGGUUAGCAUAACAAAUGAAGCGGAAGUUUGUUUAGUCCAUAAUAGUCAAACACAGAGAGCUCAGAUCUCAAUUGUUGAUAGACUAUCGUUGCUACGGUGACUGCAACCGACCACCUUUGAAACACAACUGAAACGCAACUCACGGCUGCUGCUGACAAGGGCAUUCACAUAUUUAUUCGUAAAACCAUUUUAUUUUUUGGUGGAUGAAAACAUUGUGUCAAUAUGCUAUGUCUAUGUUCGCCUUAUUCACCCGGAACGUUCUAAAGACGUUGAGGGGUACACUUCAGGGGUACAUUCGGCAACGCACCAGCUGUCAUGGCGCCUCACUGUUGUGUGCCCAAAUGUUCGUCCUCAAAGAGAAAAAAAAUCCUACCGUGGACAGACUUUCCACCGUUUCCCCAAAGAGCAGGCACUUCGCCGUGGAUGUAUAAAUCACAUCUAGAGGGGUCCUGGUCCACAUUUCAAGGUAAGAUGCAAAAUUAUGUUCAAUCAUACGCAUAGGGAGGGAAAGUAAUCUCAUCGCCCCCUGCUGGCAACGUUCCAACCCCCUGCAACAAAUGAAUGUUUUUUUUCUUUGAAAAAUUACAUCUCGGCCCUGACGACGAAGUAGAAGUAGUGGCAGUCAUAUUAUGGGCAUGUUGGCCCGUUUUAUCGAAUCAGGUGGUAAAAUGUUCGGUUUUUCACUGAUCUGAGCUGAUUUUAAUAUUCUUUAAAAAGCUAAUACAGAACUACACUGACUGGUAUGUGUGGCUUGUUUACUCCAUGUAAUUAGCAUAGCCAAAUUAGCAUAGCCAAACAUGAGCCAGAGAGGUGGUUACUCGUCACCACAGAAGCCAUCAUAUCUACUAGAGAAUUUAAAACCAUACCAAAAUGAUCGCGUGUAUAUAUGUGUAAUAAGAAGACAAUGUGGAACUCAUAGGAUUACAAGAAUGUGAAGAUAUGCGAAGAACUUGCGUUCGUUCGCGUUCAUUUGUUUCUCUGUGUUGUCAACGAGGCGCGAAGCACAGCAUGCUGGGAGCUGCAGUCCGUUUCCGACCAGAUUGGCACUUUUUGUAUUUUUCUUAAAAGGGCAAAAAAUGACUUAAGAUUUUCACAGGUAGUAGUUCAUGCUAUUGUGUACGCUGAAAAAUGUGUCUGGUGUUAUAGUUCCAAGUCAUAUCUUUGUGGGAUUUUUUUAAAAACUUGUCUAUGGGAGUUUCAAUAGGAUCACCCUGGUGUUUGGAACGUAACCGCUAGGAUCGCUGUUUUCCACUUUCCCUCCCAAUUAGCUAGCACAAAUAAGCUAGCUCGCCAAACUUGUCAUGACUCAUGUAGCCUAAUGACGCGAAUGCCUCGGUGAAAUAAAAAAUAUGAAUGUGUAAUUACACAACGCUACAUUUAUAUGAUAUUUCCAGAUCGCUAUUUCAAGAUUAGGCUUUUAAUUGUGUGGUAAGCGAUCCGAUGGCCACUGAUUUUGUGCUACCAGAACCAGUAGCGUAGGCCUACUUGUGCCAAAAUCAAGUUGUUUUGCUAACGAACUAAAAUGCAUACCCUGGUAUUUAUGGUUACAGAUCAACGCUGAGACCAAGGUUUGCUCUGAGCACUUUGAGAAGCAGUGUUUUGUAAAGACCACCCGUGUUAUCACAAAGCUUAUAAAGGAUGCUGUGCCAACUUUCGCCUGGACUUCAGAGAGGCCAAAGAGGAGAAUCAUCAUUCGCAGACCGAGAGAUGAUGACCCAUUCCUGAAGUUGGACGCCAGAAUGCAGGAAGGUGCUGUUUAAGAGCCUAGGCGGUGGAAGAAGCACUUGCAGGUAUGCUACCGACCAGGCUCCUCAACAUCAAUCCGAGACGGAAGAUGAAACGGGAUGAAGCAGUUAGAUUGAGACAAGGAGGCCGGAAACUUUGAUGACCUCAAUGACACUGGCUAGGUGAAGGACAUCAAGAAAAUGGCAUCAGGUCACCAGACAUCAGCUCAUAAUCCACAACGUCAUCAACCAUUUUGCGCCAAAAAUGAAGCCGUUCACAUACCAUGGCAUCCUAAGCAGGCAGCACUACACUACUGUGCAACAGUGAGAGAGAGUGGGCAAGGACAAGUAAAGCGGACCUACACUACAGCAAGACUUUGACACUUCUCCACGUGAGAGGCAGCCAUCGCCCCCACCGUUGAGCAGUGUGUACCCAGUACCCCCAAAAGAGGAGAUGAUCCGACGCCCUCACAGCCGAUUCCCAAAAUUGUACACAAAAACUCUGUAUGGGCAAGUGUGUGUGUGUAUGAUAUUGUAAAACUUUUCAGUCCAUCUUCUAUACUAUACAAUGUAUAAAUAUACAUGUGAAAACCUAAAUAUGCAUUAAAAACCAUUACUGAGGUUAAGAAAUGCAUUAUAACAAAUACAUCUGAUUCAGGUGUACUGUACAUAGAAAUGUCUUUAUUUGCCACAAAUACAUCACAUCCUGGAAACCUGUACAAUGUGUAGAUUCAAAGGUCUGCCAGAUCUUUGUGACGGCACAGGAUUGCAGUGGAACCCAAACAUAGCCUAUGAACUCCCACGCCAUCUCACCAACUGCCGAUAUGCAGUAUGCCUGAAUUUCCUGUACAGCAAAGAAAUGUAGAGAUUGUGCCUUCAUCGAGAAUAGGUCAUUUGGAAUCACAACAUAUUCAAUUUACUUUGUGCGUGUGGUGUAGCUAUUGCUGUUAUUAUUAUGUUACUAGUAGUGACCCAUUUAGUUGAGCUCAAUAGUCUACAUGACAUCUCUGCACUUGUGUUACCACUAUUGGGAUUGGCAGCUCCCUAAAUGAAAAUGAGAAGAACUUGCCUGGAUGAAAUGUUAUGAACUGUGUGCGUUGUGCUGCUUGCUGAAGUAACAUGACACCCACAUCACCUUCCAGAAAUAAAGUGUAUACAGCAGUCGUGGGCAGUUAUUUUGGCCCAAGGGCCACAUUGGGUUUAGAAUAUCGUCCGAGGGGCCAGAUGCCGCAGACAACUUGCCCCUUGCUAAUAAUAAGAUAUUGCGUACAAGUGAACAUAACUUGUCAGCUAUGCCAUUUCUGCCCAUUGUAGCCUGGUACUUGGUUAAUUUUAAGUUGGCAAGAGCCCUGUUUUAG